AUGUUCUCUGUAGCUCUGCUGCUGCUGCUGGCUGCUGGAUCCUGUGUGAAAUGUGAAACCUUGACACAGCCAGCCUCUCUGACUGUCCGGCCAGGUCAAACUCUGACCAUCACCUGUCAGGUCUCUUAUUCUGUUAGCAGCUAUGCCACUUCUUGGAUCAGACAGCCUGCAGGGAAAGGACUGGAGUGGAUUGGAUGGGUUCAGGGUAGCAGCACAGGCUACAAAGAUUCACUGAAAAACAAGUUCAGUAUGUCCACAGCCUCUUCCAGCAACACAGUGACUCUAACUGGACAGAAUCUGCAGCCUGAAGACACUGCUGUGUAUUAUUGUGCCAGAUAUCCACAGUGA
This is a non-coding RNA of Myripristis murdjan (pinecone soldierfish), 348 nucleotides long. Lineage: Eukaryota; Metazoa; Chordata; Actinopteri; Holocentriformes; Holocentridae. The record is from the annotation of a RefSeq genome assembly.